Molecule: microRNA, 23 nt
Filed under: Cavia porcellus (domestic guinea pig)
Lineage: Eukaryota; Metazoa; Chordata; Mammalia; Rodentia; Caviidae
Description: cpo-miR-302a-3p
Gene: cpo-miR-302a-3p
Source: miRBase by way of RNAcentral
UAAGUGCUUCCAUGUUUCGGUGA